This 433-nucleotide ribosomal RNA is filed under the name uncultured bacterium. Its description in RNAcentral is "partial 16S ribosomal RNA". It matches the Rfam family "Bacterial small subunit ribosomal RNA", at positions 29 to 507 of the family's 1533-position model. The record is from RNAcentral.
AACGAACGCUGGCGGCAUGCCUAACACAUGCAAGUCGAACGAGACCUUCGGGUCUAGUGGCGCACGGGUGCGUAACACGUGGGAAUCUGCCCUUUGCUUCGGAAUAACAGUUAGAAAUGACUGCUAAUACCGGAUGAUGUCGAAAGACCAAAGAUUUAUCGGCAAAGGAUGAGCCCGCGUAGGAUUAGGUAGUUGGUGGGGUAAAGGCCUACCAAGCCGACGAUCCUUAGCUGGUCUGAGAGGAUGAUCAGCCACACUGGGACUGAGACACGGCCCAGACUCCUACGGGAAGCAGCAGUGGGGAAUAUUGGACAAUGGGCGAAAGCCUGAUCCAGCAAUGCCGCGUGAGUGAUGAAGGCCUUAGGGUUGUAAAGCUCUUUUACCAGGGAUGAUAAUGACAGUACCUGGAGAAUAAGCGCCGGCUAACUCCGUG